UCGGUUAGUCGGCACGAGCGCACCUCAUCUUCAGUUACUAACAGGUUAAGCUGAGGACUCUGGAGAAACUGCCGUUGGAAAAGCGGAGGAAGGCGAGGAUGACGUCAAGUCCUCAUGGCCCUUAUGGGCUGGGCUACACACGUGCUACAAUGGUGAUUACAAUAAGUCGCGAAAUGGCAACAUUGAGCUAAUCUUUAAAAAUUAUCUUAGUUCAGAUUGUUCUCUGCAACUCGAGAGCAUGAAGUUGGAAUUGCUAGUAAUCGUGGAUCAGCAUGCCACGGUGAAUACGUUCCCGGGUCUUGUACACACCGCCCGUCACACCAUGGGAGUUGGUUUUACCUGAAGCCGAUUUUUAAAUCGUCCACGGUAAGGUUAGCGACUGGGGUGAAGUCGUAACAAGGUAGCCGUAGGGGAACCUGCGGCUGGAACACCUCCUUUCU
Molecule: ribosomal RNA, 440 nt
Filed under: uncultured Alphaproteobacteria bacterium
Lineage: Bacteria; Pseudomonadati; Pseudomonadota; Alphaproteobacteria
Description: bacterial SSU rRNA
Rfam family: Bacterial small subunit ribosomal RNA
Source: RNAcentral